Molecule: ribosomal RNA, 500 nt
Filed under: uncultured bacterium
Lineage: Bacteria
Description: partial 16S ribosomal RNA
Rfam family: Bacterial small subunit ribosomal RNA
Source: RNAcentral
AUUGAACGCUGGCGGAAUGCUUUACACAUGCAAGUCGAACGGCAGCACGGACUUCGGUCUGGUGGCGAGUGGCGAACGGGUGAGUAACAUAUCGGAACAUAUCCAAUAAUGGGGGAUAACGAGUCGAAAGAUUCGCUAAUACCGCAUACGCCCUACGGGGGAAAGCUGGGGACCUUCGGGCCUGGCGUUAAUGGCGCGGUCGAUAUCUGAUUAGCUAGUUGGUGAGGUAAAGGCUCACCAAGGCGACGAUCAGUAGCUGGUCUGAGAGGACGACCAGCCACACUGGAACUGAGACACGGUCCAGACUUCUACGGGAGGCAGCAGUGGGGAAUUUUGGACAAUGGGCGAAAGCCUGAUCCAGCCAUUCCGCGUGCAGGAUGAAGGCCCUCGGGUUGUAAACUGCUUUUGUACAGAACGAAAAGGUUUCUACUAAUACUAGGAGCUCAUGACGGUACUGUAAGAAUAAGCACCGGCUAACUACGUGCCAGCCGCCGCCGUAA